Molecule: non-coding RNA, 27 nt
Filed under: Mus musculus (house mouse)
Lineage: Eukaryota; Metazoa; Chordata; Mammalia; Rodentia; Muridae
Source: RNAcentral
GGCUCAAAGAACAGCGGUGCAGGUAAG